AUACGUAGGUGACAAGCGUUAUCCGGAUUUACUGGGUGUAAAGGGAGCGUAGGCGGGAGUGCAAGUCAGAUGUGAAAUGCAAGGGCUUAACCCAUGAGCUGCAUUUGAAACUGCAUUUCUUGAGUGAAGUAGAGGUAAGCGGAAUUCCUGGUGUAGCGGUGAAAUGCGUAGAUAUCAGGAGGAACACCGGUGGCGAAGGCGGCUUACUGGGCUUUUACUGACGCUGAGGCUCGAAAGCGUGGGGAGCAAACAGGAUUAGAUACCCUGGUAGUCCACGCUGUAAACGAUGAUUACUAGGUGUGGGGGGACUGACCCCUUCCGUGCCGCAGUUAACACAAUAAGUAAUCCACCUGGGGAGUACGGCCGCAAGGUUGAAACUCAAAUGAAUUGACGGGG
This 396-nucleotide ribosomal RNA is filed under the name uncultured bacterium. RNAcentral's name for it is "partial 16S ribosomal RNA". It matches the Rfam family "Bacterial small subunit ribosomal RNA", at positions 523 to 918 of the family's 1533-position model. The record is from RNAcentral.